This 301-nucleotide ribosomal RNA is filed under the name uncultured bacterium. RNAcentral's name for it is "partial 16S ribosomal RNA". It matches the Rfam family "Bacterial small subunit ribosomal RNA", at positions 509 to 807 of the family's 1533-position model. The record is from RNAcentral.
CAGCAGCCGCGGUAAUACGAAGGGGGCUAGCGUUGUUCGGAAUCACUGGGCGUAAAGGGUGCGUAGGCGGAUUCUUAAGUCAGGGGUGAAAUCCCGAGGCUCAACCUCGGAACUGCCUUUGAUACUGGGGAUCUUGAGUCCGGAAGAGGUGAGUGGAACUGCGAGUGUAGAGGUGAAAUUCGUAGAUAUUCGCAAGAACACCGGUGGCGAAGGCGGCUCACUGGUCCGGAACUGACGCUGAGGCACGACAGCGUGGGGAGCAAACAGGAUUAGAGACCCGCGUAGUCCCUGUCUCUUAUAC